UGCUAAUUCUUUCCUCUCACAAAUAUGUUCUUGGGCGAUCAAUCAAGAUGAACUUACAGAUGCCAUGAAGUCAUGAUGUUGAACAACCCCAACUCUACUUUCAGAAGUCAGAGAGGAUCUCAACAACACAGCUGGGGCUUGGACAAAAUUCUCUAGCAGCAGUCUGCAAAUUACAGUGAUUCCUUGAAGAGACAGAAAACAGAACAAAGCAACUUAACCUGGGAGGAGGAGUUCAAAUCUGUUUGGCUUGGACAAGUUUGAGAAGUGAGCCCACAUUAACCUAAUGUCCAAGUGCAAGGAACUGCACCUGGGCUGGGACAAUACCAAAUAUGAGUACAAACUGGACACUUUCCUGUGCAGCCUAUUGUAGGGAAC
RNAcentral lists this long non-coding RNA (375 nucleotides) under Gallus gallus (chicken). The record is from RNAcentral. Lineage: Eukaryota; Metazoa; Chordata; Aves; Galliformes; Phasianidae.